CAUAUUUGGGAUUGUUUGAGAAAUAAGCUAACUUACUUUGAUCCAAGCUUGUGAAUAUCUGUGUAGCUUUUUUUUUUUUUUUUAUUUUUUUUUUUUUUUUAAUAAAUGACAUCAUUCAAUGAAAAUGGUUGGAUCCUAGUUGUUCACACUUUGAUGACCCAUGCCCUUAUAAUGGAGGACCACACUCUUGGAAAAAUUAUCUAAAUUCUCUCGGCGGUGGGUUGUGCGUACAAUCUCAAACUUAUGAGUGGAGUAUAUACGAUAGAUGUGGUGGUCAAAAUGGCCAUUGGGCUAAUUUUGCUUAUGUGUCCUUCCCUUCCCCAAACCCCCACUAUGACGAUCCUAUUUUUAGUUUUGAUGAUUAUAGGGCUAUGUAAGUAGAAGAAUUCUCAGAUGCUCAAAAUAAGAGGAUCAUGCUCAUGACGGAGGCCAUUCUUGAAAUGAAGAAAAGCGAAACUUGGCCCUCGAGGAUUUGAAACAAGCUCCAAAUCGGAAUGAUGCGGCUAUUCACACCUUGGAAGAUCAAAUUAUUACACAUUGUACUUUCAUGUUAGAAUGCGUCGUAAGUGAAUCAAUAUGAGUUGGAGAGGUUAAGGACUUUUACAAAGAUAAUGAUGGGUUAAAACAAGUGUUAAGGAAGUAUCGUGAGGGUUGAAGGUUAAACGAAUCAAGGAUGUUAUAACCCGUACUUUCGGGUAAAACUAGGAGUGCUUAAUAUUAUAAGGAGGUCAUGUUUUAAGGUAAUUGAAUCAUAUAAUAUUCGUAUGUUAAGUUUUGAAGUCAAACAAUUUGUAAAACAUAAGUCGGCAAAAGUUAUCAUAAGUUACGUUCAUAAUUUAGUGAAAUUUGGGUCUAAUGUCACCGAGAUUUUAUCCCAAUACAGUUGGAUUUACGGGGUGAUCCGCCCACCAAAUUGAAGGUCUAAGAAUCUAGUGUCCAACACAUUAAACCGUUUGUCGAUACGACGUUGGAGUAGAGAGAUAUUCACAUUUUUGCAAAAUUGCACAGGCAGCCCCUUUGGGACCCAGUUGAGGCGGUGGAAGUUUCUUGGUUCUCUUUAAUGCGGUGGCCUUCUAUUUUGCAUCAUUUUUUACCAUACCAGAUCCUAGACAACCCCUAAACUCUCUCUAAACAUUCCCUCAUGAUUCAAGAGUGAAUCUAAGGCCAAACUACGUAAGUAUAUCAUCAAAAUCUCAUAGAACUAGCGGGGAGUGCUUCUAUGGCGUUGUUGUUGCGUUGAGGGUUCCUUUAAGUUGAAGAAAUCUUUGGUUGAAGGUUAUUGUUUAUGUUUGAGACUUAGGCGUGAACAAGGUUGAUUCCGGCUUGAUACGUCGUGGUUCGAUAUAAAGUAUGUUAAGGCUAAAUUUCCUUCUUUUGGCAUGUUCUAAAUUGAACGAAGCAUAGCCGAACGUCCCUUUCCAAAGAUGGAUCUGCUCUUAGUAAUAGAUCGUUAUGAUCAUUUUUCACAUCUAUGAUUCAUAAGUACCUUAUGUCUUGUUUUCCUUGGUUGAUAAUGGAAAGUAUGAUGUCAUGUUAGUCACAUAAUGAUAGUCGGAGGUGUAAUGACCUUACGUCACUCUGUUACACUCAUAAGGUGUUCUAAUGAUCAUCAUGCAUCUAUAUAUGUAUAUAUGUAUCUUGAUAGCGUUAUAUAUGCGUAUAUGUAUAGUACGUAACACCACUGAUCAGUUGGUUAUUAUGAUGAAGAUGGUGAUGCCCACAGAGGCCCGAUGACGCUAUAUGCACAUAUAUAUGGUAUAAGUGUCUUGAUGGCGUUAUAUACACGUAUACGGUAUUUAUGCAUAUCAUGGAUCACAAUGGCAAUCUGAGUUAAAGGUUUUGGUAGACAGAUUGACGGACCUACUCAGAAGGUGGUUUGGCUCAGCGGUGGAUUGGCGCACUCCGUUUGUUCUGGAGUUGCCAUUUGAGUCGGUAUGAGCCUAUGUAUAAGAUAUAGGUAUGGCGGGGCCCUGUCCCGACUUUAUGACGAUUAUGCUAUUCUUAGAGGCUUGUGGACAGAUGUCCUAUGUGUAAAUGAUUUUGUGCGACCUUGUCGGCCCAUCUAUAUACUUAUGUGUGUCAUUUUGGGAUGUAAGUAAUCGUAUAGCUUACUAUAUUUAUUCAGAAUGAUACAUGGUGGCCUUGACGGCUCGUUUUCAUAUUAAGUUGGUUGUUGACUAACAUACGUGGGUGCUCGAUAAGUAAGGUCGGGUGCCGGUCUUGCCCCUCCGGUUUGGGGUGUGACACAAAUGAAAUCAUUGGUGAGGCUCAUAACGCUCACCAACUUGAGAGUGUUAAAAGAGGUCAAGAAAAUUCCAAAUUCGAGAAAUGAGCUUCACGGCGAGGAAUCAAGAAUUGAACAGCCGCCAACCAACUACAUGCUCAUUAGAGAUGCAAAAAAAGAAAAAGAAUUAGAGUCAAUCAACGUCAUGAAAAAUAUGGUUGAUGAUGACUCUUGUUCAGGGGGAAAAAGAGGAUAUCAACAUCCAGACAAGAUUGCAAGUUGGGAGCGUAAAAGUCUCAUUCCAACCAGUUUUCAACAUUGGAUUUAUUUGGUGAUAUGGGAAUUGAACCACAUAAAUCCAUGUUGGAUGGCGACGAAGAAAGACAAGAGUUGUCAUCUUGAAAUUUGAGAACCCAAGAAGGCAAAAUGACAUUCCUCACAUGAAAGACUAGAAGUGCAAAAUGAAGAAAUUGGUGUUUGGCUUGUUCAUAUACAUACCACCCCCACCGCUCAUGGUUACAAACUUGAGUCCAAGUUAGGUGCCCAAUUCAUAAGUUCCAAAUGGA
Long non-coding RNA from Lycium ferocissimum, 2790 nucleotides. RefSeq lists it as uncharacterized. The transcript has 3 exons. The record is from RefSeq and is a predicted model, not a curated record. Lineage: Eukaryota; Viridiplantae; Streptophyta; Magnoliopsida; Solanales; Solanaceae.